CCUACGGGAGGCAGCAGUGAGGAAUAUUGGUCAAUGGACGCAAGUCUGAACCAGCCAAGCCGCGUGCAGGAAGACGGUCCUAUGAGUUGUAAACCUCUUUUGUACGGGAGCAAACGCAGAUACGUGUCCCUGUAUGAAAGUAUCCCACGAAAAAGCAUCGGCUAACUCCGUGCCAGCAGCCGCGGUAAUACGGAGGAUUCCAGCGUUAUCCGGAUUUAUUGGGUUUAAAGGGUGCGUAGGCGGUCGGAUAAGUUAGGGGUGAAAUCCCGAGGCUCAACAUCGGAAUCGCCUUUGAUACUGUUCGGCUAGAGUGGAGUAGCGGUAGGCGGAAUGUGUGGUGUAGCGGUGAAAUGCUUAGAGAUCACGCAGAACACCGAUUGCGAAGGCAGCAUACCGGGGUCCUACUGACGUUGAGGCACGAAAGCGUGGGUAGCGAACAGGAUUAGAUACCCCUGUAGUC
RNAcentral lists this ribosomal RNA (460 nucleotides) under uncultured bacterium. RNAcentral describes it as "partial 16S ribosomal RNA". It matches the Rfam family "Bacterial small subunit ribosomal RNA", at positions 338 to 795 of the family's 1533-position model. The record is from RNAcentral.